This is a long non-coding RNA of Pezoporus occidentalis (night parrot), 870 nucleotides long. RefSeq lists it as uncharacterized. The record is from RefSeq and is a predicted model, not a curated record. Lineage: Eukaryota; Metazoa; Chordata; Aves; Psittaciformes; Psittacidae. The transcript has 2 exons.
UCUGGCAGCCAGGAACCACAACUGAUCACUGCCAGCCCCGAAAUAUCUCCCUGAGCAUCCCGAGGAAAAGCAUACCGCCUUCCAGCGCUGUCGGCGUCAGCGGAGCAGCUGGUGCUGUGACAGCCGCGCCCCAGGCUCCACACCGGGGGUGCUGUGCCGGGGAAGGGCAGCUUAGCCGGGCGGCCCCUCAGGGACUUCAGCUCCCGGCAGGCCGCGCGGCCGGCGGCGACUGGCGGCGAGGUGCGCGGGCACUGGCGGGGCCGCCGGCCGUUACUGCCGCCUCGCGCCCAAGGCGGGCCUCGCGGGUGCGGCCUGUCCCCCACAGCCGUCUGUGUGCCCGGCGUUGGAACGUUGGGUCACUGACAGGGGAAAUACGUGUUUUACACACGGAUGCAACCCGUUCUGCUCUGCAUAAGCCUAGUUUACGAAGAGGAGCUUUCCUCGCUUCCCUCAACGUGAAACCGCGCAAGCCCUUCGUUGUUUCCACCCUCCACUUGAUCCGUGAACGUGUUUAGCCAUGAUUUUACCCAGGCUGUUGGAACAAGAAAGCCUGUUUUUCUCUCUCUGCUGUUCAAGGUCUUUUAGCCAGAACGCAUGCACUGUGUGAGCCUCACUUCAGAUACUCCAAGGAUUAAUUGAAGAACAUGAUGGAAGGAAGGGGAGAGCGUGAGUAAAAUAGCUGGUUUAUAUUUGUAUCCUCAAAUGUCAGUUCAUUACCAAGUUAGAAACCAGCUGAUACAGAGAACUCAUUAUGGCUUCAUCUAGAAUGCUUAUUUCUUGAGAGACGAAAAAGAAUUCUUACUUGUCCAACACAGAUAUGCUACGUUCUACAGCACACUUUGGGAUGUGAAGUAAAGAGGGUUUUCUUUA